CAGCCGCCGCGGUAAUACCGGCGGCCCGAGUGGCGGUCACUAUUAUUGGGCUUAAAGCGUCCGUAGCCGGGUUGGGAAGUCCUCCGGGAAAUCUGGCCGCUUAACGGUCAGAAUGCCGGAGGAUACUCCCAGCCUAGGGAGCGGGCGAGGCCGAGGGUAUUCCCGGAGUAGGGGUGAAAUCCUAUAAUCCCCGGAGGACCACCAGUGGCGAAGGCGCCCGGCUGGCACGCGCCCGACGGUGAGGGACGAAAGCUGGGGGAGCAAAGGGGAUUAGAUACCCCCGUAGUCCCAGCGGUAAACGAUGCGGGCUAGAUGUUGGGCGGGCCUCGAGCCCGCCCAGUGUCGUAGGGAAGCCGUUAAGCCCGCCGCCUGGGGAGUACGGCCGCAAGGCUGAAACUUAAAGGAAUUGGCGGG
RNAcentral lists this ribosomal RNA (414 nucleotides) under uncultured microorganism. Its description in RNAcentral is "bacterial SSU rRNA". It matches the Rfam family "Archaeal small subunit ribosomal RNA", at positions 459 to 872 of the family's 1478-position model. The record is from RNAcentral.